AGAGUUUGAUCCUGGCUCAGAUUGAACGCUGGCGGCAGGCUUAACACAUGCAAGUCGAGCGGAGAUGAGGUGCUUGCACCUUAUCUUAGCGGCGGACGGGUGAGUAAUGCUUAGGAAUCUGCCUAUUAGUGGGGGACAACAUUCCGAAAGGAAUGCUAAUACCGCAUACGUCCUACGGGAGAAAGCAGGGGAUCUUCGGACCUUGCGCUAAUAGAUGAGCCUAAGUCGGAUUAGCUAGUUGGUUGGGUAAGGGCCUACCAAGGCGACGAUCUGUAGCGGGUCUGAGAGGAUGAUCCGCCACACUGGGACUGAGACACGGCCCAGACUCCUACGGGAGGCAGCAGUGGGGAAUAUUGGACAAUGGGGGGAACCCUGAUCCAGCCAUGCCGCGUGUGUGAAGAAGGCCUUAUGGUUGUAAAGCACUUUAAGCGAGGAGGAGGCUACUGAGACUAAUACUCUUGGAUAGUGGACGUUACUCGCAGAAUAAGCACCGGCUAACUCUGUGCCAGCAGCCGCGGUGAUACAGAGGGUGCGAGCGUUAAUCGGAUUUACUGGGCGUAAAGCGUGCGUAGGCGGCUUUUUAAGUCGGAUGUGAAAUCCCCGAGCUUAACUUGGGAAUUGCAUUCGAUACUGGGAAGCUAGAGUAUGGGAGAGGAUGGUAGAAUUCCAGGUGUAGCGGUGAAAUGCGUAGAGAUCUGGAGGAAUACCGAUGGCGAAGGCAGCCUUCCGGCCUAAUACUGACGC
RNAcentral lists this ribosomal RNA (744 nucleotides) under uncultured bacterium. RNAcentral describes it as "bacterial SSU rRNA". It matches the Rfam family "Bacterial small subunit ribosomal RNA", at positions 8 to 746 of the family's 1533-position model. The record is from RNAcentral.